This 274-nucleotide ribosomal RNA is filed under the name uncultured bacterium. RNAcentral describes it as "partial 16S ribosomal RNA". It matches the Rfam family "Bacterial small subunit ribosomal RNA", at positions 523 to 796 of the family's 1533-position model. The record is from RNAcentral.
AUACGGAGGGUCCAAGCGUUAUCCGGAAUCAUUGGGUUUAAAGGGUCCGCAGGCGGUCAAUUAAGUCAGAGGUGAAAGCCCAUCGCUCAACGAUGGAACUGCCUUUGAUACUGGUUGACUUGAGUUAUACGGAAGUAGAUAGAAUAAGUAGUGUAGCGGUGAAAUGCAUAGAUAUUACUUAGAAUACCGAUUGCGAAGACAGUCUACUACGUAUAUACUGACGCUGAGGGACGAAAGCGUGGGGAGCAAACAGGAUUAGAAACCCUAGUAGUCC